RNAcentral lists this ribosomal RNA (497 nucleotides) under uncultured bacterium. RNAcentral's name for it is "partial 16S ribosomal RNA". It matches the Rfam family "Bacterial small subunit ribosomal RNA", at positions 28 to 507 of the family's 1533-position model. The record is from RNAcentral.
GAUGAACGCUGGCGGCGUGCCUAAUACAUGCAAGUCGAGCGAACGGACGAGAAGCUUGCUUCUCUGAUGUUAGCGGCGGACGGGUGAGUAACACGUGGAUAACCUACCUAUAAGACUGGGAUAACUUCGGGAAACCGGAGCUAAUACCGGAUGAUAUUUUGAACCGCAUGGUUCAAAAGUGAAAGACGGUCUUGCUUUCACUUAUAGAUGGAUCCGCGCUGCAUUAGCUAGUUGGUAAGGUAACUGCUUACCAAGGCAACGAUGCAUAGCCGACCUGAGAGGGACGACGGACAGACGGGAAGUGAGAAACGGCCCAGACACCGACGGGAGGAAGCAGUAGGGAAUCUUACGGAAUGGGGGAAAGGCUGACGGAGCAAAGCCGCGGGAGUGAUGAAGGACUAAGGAUCGGAAAACGCUGUUAGUAGGGAAGAACAUAUGUGUAAGUAACUGGGAAGAUAAUGACGGUACCGAAUCAGAAAGCCACGGCUAACUACGUG